GUUGGUGCUGGGCAGUGGUGGCAUGCAGAGCUGGAGUCUUCUGUAAAAACAGCAGACCCUAGAAAGAAGAGUGUGAGCAGCCUUUUAGGGAGCAGAUCUGCUGAGGGUAGCGACCAGUAGGACAGGAGGUGAACACUCACUGAAAGGUGCUGAAUGCUUCAGGGACAUACUGUAGCGAAAACGUCAGGAGAGGACUCACAGAGAAAAGUUUAUUCACAUCAAUGUCUUCCCUAGUGGACCUAUACAGUUGCCAGUGCCUACCAGAAUCAGAAUCAGUUUAUUGCCAAGUACAGUAGUACAUAAUACACAAGGAAUUUGUUUCCGAUAACCACAGCUCCCUGACAGUAUAUGACAUACGACAAGAAACAUAAGGAAGGAAGAACACAUGACGAUGAAACUUUGCUAUCAAAACCAUUACGAAUAGCCCCAACACUGCUGAGAUUUGUGCUUAGUAAAUUCCCGUGUUGCCACUUAGAAAAAAAAACAAAAAUCGGACAAACUCGGAACUUUAGAUAAUAAACCCCGAUGACUUGGAAAACAGGUCGAGAAGAAAGAACCUCAGGAUUGUGGGAUUACCUGAGAACAUUAAAGGCACUGACAUGUUGAAUUUAUUAAAGUUGGAGCUGUUCACACUGUUAAAAAUGGAGGAGGCUUGUUCCGAUUUGAUAAUAGAGAGAUCCCACCGUACUGGACCUUGUUGCAUAUGAACCCAGGGGCCAGAACGCGGGUGGUUUUGUUUCGCUGCCUAAAUUUUUUACACAAAGAUGCUCUAUGGAAAGCCUCCCAGAAGCACCGAAACCUAAAGUGGGAAGGCAAUAACAUUCAUCUUUUCCAGGAUUAUUCUGUGGAAUUAACAAAGGGUAGAAAGGCGUUCUCCCCUAUAUGCACACAUCUCGUACAGCAAGGCAAGAAAUUUGAUGGCUCCUCUUAUGUGGACUUUCUGGACCCGGAUGAUGCUCAAGCCUACCUUGACAAGGAAUAUACUGCCAGGGGUUCAACCAGGGCAGAGGCCACUAGUCCAGAAUGAAUAUUGUUACUCUUAUGCAAGUGUUAUACCUUUACUGUUGUUUACAAGUUUCUUUUUUUGGAUAUGUGCAUUGUACCCUUACAAUGUGACAGUUUAUUCUCGUGUACAGAGGAGACUAUAUGGACUGUGUCUGUUUACGUUAUGUUGAGGAGAAAUCAUGAGCCUCUAGUAUUUACCCACAUGCCAAUUGUAUAUUAUAUUUCACCAUAUGGGCACAGAUGCUUUUCUGGAUUCUCUUUGUAUUAUUCUCUGAGAGACUCAGUGUGACACACUGUAAACACAUACGCCUUGCUUCUUAUAAGGCGACACUAGUUGCUUUAUUAUAUUUUAAUGUGCAUGUCCCCAAAAUGUUUUUAUAUUCUGUCAUCUACACAGGCGACAAUGUUUUUUGAUAUUUUAUAAGUUGCUCCACUGGUUUUUGACUAUGCUCCAACCCCCCCCCCCCCCUUCCUUUCCCUAGAAAUUUCUGUGUCUAUAUUGCUGUGAAUGUAAUAAUUAUUUAUGCAUAAACUGUGUUUUUGGUGAACCAUUAGUUGUUACAUAUACAUAAAAUCAGCUAUAAGGUUUAUA
This is a long non-coding RNA of Pseudophryne corroboree (corroboree frog), 1597 nucleotides long. RefSeq lists it as uncharacterized. NCBI's taxonomy places the organism in Eukaryota, Metazoa, Chordata, Amphibia, Anura, Myobatrachidae. The transcript has 3 exons. The record is from RefSeq and is a predicted model, not a curated record.